Chionomys nivalis (European snow vole) is the source of this 102-nucleotide small nuclear RNA. Lineage: Eukaryota; Metazoa; Chordata; Mammalia; Rodentia; Cricetidae. The record is from RefSeq and is a predicted model, not a curated record.
UUGCUUCAGCAGCACAUAUACUGAAACUAGAACGAUACAGAGAAGAUCAGCAUGGCCUGGCGCAAGGAUGGCACGCAAAUUCAUGAAGCGUUCCAUAUUAUG